This 494-nucleotide ribosomal RNA is filed under the name uncultured bacterium. RNAcentral's name for it is "SSU rRNA". It matches the Rfam family "Bacterial small subunit ribosomal RNA", at positions 26 to 518 of the family's 1533-position model. The record is from RNAcentral.
AGAACGAACGCUGGCGGCGUGGAUAAGACAUGCAAGUCGAACGGGCUUAAUUUUAGAGCAAUCUAGGGUUGAGCCAGUGGCGAACGGGUGCGUAACACGUGAGUCAUCUGCCUGAAAGUGGGGGAUAGCUCGCCGAAAGGCGAAUUAAUACCGCAUGUGGUUGUGAAACCAAAGCCGGGGCAACCUGGCGCUUUUAGAGGAGCUCGCGGCCUAUCAGCUUGUUGGUGAGGUAACAGCUUACCAAGGCAACGACGGGUAGCUGGUCUGAGAGGACGACCAGCCACACUGGAACUGAGACACGGUCCAGACACCUACGGGUGGCAGCAGUCGAGAAUUUUUCUCAAUGGGGGAAACCCUGAAGGAGCGACGCCGCGUGGAGGAUGAAGGCUUUCGGGUUGUAAACUCCUGUCAUUUGGGAACAAGUCUUACGUUACUGCGUGGAGAUUUGAUAGUACCGAAGAGGAAGAGACGGCUAACUCUGUGCCAGCAGCCGC